GUACAGACGGGGUUCACCGCGGCUCACGGAGGACUGACGAGUCCCUGCGUGGCGUGACUGACGUCCUCCCAGGGUGGACACUGGUUCAGCCACGCUCCCGUCAUGCAGCUCGCUUACUCAGUCUGGUUUCAUCAGACCUCUCACACUUUACUGUGCUGCUCUAAGAGCUAAAGGCUCAACAGCCACCUUCGAGGCUUUCGGGACGGGAAACGAGCCAGGCUGCGCUCCAUCUCCGUGGGCGGGGCGGGUUCCCACCGGUCUGGCCAGUCCCUGUCUCCCGGGCCUGACCUCUCCUCACGCCCGCCCCCCUGCCCCUAGGGCCGCCCCCCAAGACUCUCAGUCCCGGCACAGUCACUGGCAGAUCUGCGACGGGCACCACCUGCUCCAGCGGCAGCAGCCGGCCCUCUACCGGGACGAGCCCCAGGCGCCCGGGAGGGCAGCCAGCCUCGGAGUGCCCCUCCUGCCCCUCAGCCUCAGCCUUCUGACCUUCCCACAGGCCAUCCUGCGUGUCUCGGUCACUCGGUGUUUUUGGCUUGGCUUUGUGAUCUGUACCUGCCAUGGAGAACAUCAGUAAACACGAGUCACAAUCAAGAUCUCUGGCGAAAGGCCUGGGGUGGGAGGAGCCUGCGAUGGGAGCUGUUUCCCAGAGAUUCAGCCCACCUUGCCUUGCAAGCGCAAGGUUCCAAGUUCGAUCCCCGGUACCAAAAAAAAAAAAAAAAAAUCCACCCCUUUACAGUACAGGAGUAAGUGUUCUUAGGGUAUUUGCAAUGUGGAGCAACCAUCACCACUGUCUGUCCCCCGCACUUCCGUGGCCCCACAAGGAAGCCGCAUCCGGCUCCCAGAAGGCACCACCCUCUGUCUUUGUGACCUGCGCUGUGGACCCCAUGCGGUGUUCGCCCUCGGCAGCAGCACCCCUGGGCCGCAGUGGCUGUAUGGACUCGGAGUGUGUGGUCCUGUCUUGCUGACCUUCCCCCUGUUCGGGGGAGCGGGUCGGGCUGUGUGUGGGGUGAUGCGGUGGCCGUGGCCCCCUAGUCCAGGUUGGGUCUCAGACCGCUGGCCCUGGGCGUGCAGGCAUCCUCUGGAAGCUUGGCGCUGGGCUCCACAAGAGGGCGCUGUCUGAAAGUCUUCCGUGCGCUGGGAGUGACGCAGCCGUUCAGGAGGGUUUGGGGCGCGUGCUCCUGUCUUCCCAAACAUCUAGAGCUCAAGGAGUGCAGAAAAUUCUGACCUCCCUACCCACCCGACCACCCAACCACCCAGCCACCCAGCACCCACCCACCUCCUCCCACUGUCCUCACCAUUUAGCGGGCAGGGACCAAGUAGCCCAGCCCUGUCCACGAUUCCUCUGUGAUCAUGGAAAGCCACAUGUGGUCACUGAGGGAAACUGAGGCUCAGGGAGGUUAAGGAACUUGCCCAGGGUCAUGGGGCUCACAUACAGCUGAGGCAGCAUUCGAACCCAGGCCUUGUGGUGCAGGGCCCAGGCUUUACAUGCGCCACGGUCUCAGGUCAGGUCAGGGUGGGUGAGGGACAUUCAGCGGCCAGCAGGGAAGGAGAAGGCUCCUUGUCCCCCUGGACUGGCCCCUGUGGUGUCCGAGCUCCUCAGCGCUUCCAGGCUGGGGCUGAGAGCCUGUUAUUGUGCUUUUGGCAUGGUGGGCACCAGCCUGGCCAUUGCAUAGGCAGCACACAGGGCACCAGGUCACCGGCCCGUGCCCCUCCUCAGGCUGAGAGGGACAGAAGGGCACAUCCGGGUGGGGAUCACCUGGCCGCAUUCUUCGUGCUUCCCCAGUCUCUGCUUCUAUAGGCUGAUCUGAUGGAGGAGGCCUUGACCCAGCCUCUGAGCCACACCCCAGGAGACUGGCUUCUCCUGGCCCCACCCAGCUGCCACCCAGCUGCUUCCUUGGGCAGCGAAGGGCCACUCCACCUUCUCUCUCCAUCCCAGGGGCGGAGGAUGUCAUCUGCAGUCUCGGCCCUCUGGAUCAAAACACGAUGCUUGCCCUUCCCAGGAUGGGGAACAGCGCCUGCACUGCUGCGGUGCUGUGUCCCCACCACACCUGUGGUGUCGCAUUUAUGACACAAGUGUUUCCCUCUCGCACCCCUGAGAAAGGUCACUGGCUUUUAGCCCCCAGUGAGUGUCUUUCCAUGUCAGAAGCAGACACUCAGCAGCCCCAGUGCAACCCAGAGCAGAGAGCCCUUCCUGCUCGGGUUCCCUGGGCCUCCUGAGCCGAGGGCCUGGCCCAGAGAUGCCUGGGCCCUGCCGGGCUGUCCUGGCACCAGUGCAAUUGUAGGAGCAGGUUUAUGUGUCGCUUGCGUCAAGGGCUCCUUCCUUGCAGGGAGGCCCAGCCCUAACUGGAGAGUGGAAGUUGGGGUCCUGCUCUCUUCCUGGGAGGUGAUCUCUGGCCUGGCUCUUGGGCGCAGCAGCUCCCUAGGGGCCCACCCGCCCGUGUCACUCACCAAGGUCCAGCGCUGUGGCAGUGGGGAGCUGCACCGUGAAUGGCCAUGAUGUCACUUGGGACCUGCCCAGUUGGCCAAAUCCCACCUGGUUGUGCUGCCCUCCACUGCCCUUGGCCUCUGUUUGCUGAACCCCUCUCAGCACCCGCUUUGGAGAGGAGGUGCUUGUUCCUCAGCUGCAAUUGCUGCCGAGUGGAGUGGGGUGCUGUCUCUUCUCAGUGUCCACAGGAGGAAGAGACGGCAGGGGGAGCUUGAUGGCCAUGUGCAUUGUCAGUGUGGCUGGAGCAGGCAGGAAAGUCUGGAGGGGUCCUGGAAGGGAUGAGGGGACCCCUUAGGGCACCCUGCCUCUGCUCUGCCCAGCUGGGCUGGCAGCUCCGGGCCAGUGGGGUGGGGAGGCUUCUGCUGGUUGCAUUGUGGCUAUCCUAGCCUGGCCCUGCCAGCCUGGGAGCCCUUGUGCAUGAGUGAUGGGAGCGGGCGUGUCCAUGCUGUGCUCCAUAGGGGUAUCGGACGCUGUGGCUGUCUGGGAAGUGGGCUGUUUGAGGCUACUUAUCCAUAAAUUGCCACCGGGUCAGGACUCUUGGUCGUAAAGAACAGGAAAGCUAAUUCAUGUUGACUUAAGCUAGGAGGGAAUUUGUUAAUUUACAUAAUGGAAAAGUCUAGGGCCCUGAUGGCUUCAGGGGCAGCUUGAGCCAGGGAUGCAGACAGUGUUGGCAGGACCCAGCUUCUCCUCACAUCAUGCCUCUGCGGCCCUCUAUACCACUGGCAGGCAGGUAGUUUUGAAAAAUAGCUGUGAGGAUCUCUGGGUUUGCACCAAAGUAGUGCCAAUUCAGUAGAAAAAAGAGACACUCUUUCCCAUUGUUUCCCACCACUAAGAAGGGAUCUGGAGUUGGCUGAUUGGCCUUGUUGGGGCCACCAGCACUGUGGCUGAGGGGAGGUGCUGCUCUCAGGCACCUUGCAGCCCUGCUGCUGUGGGACAGUCGUCCCGAGCUUAGUGACUUAGAGGGUCCUCUGGUUUCUUUAGCUGGGGAGUCUGCAGUGUGGGCGGUGCCCAGCUGAGAAGUCCCCUCUGCCCCAUGUGGCAUCAGCUGAGCCAGCCCAGGCUGGGGCUGAUGAUUCCGUCAAGAUGGUGAAGUGGGAUAGCUGUCAGGCCAGGCCUGGCGCUGUGUCUGUGGCCUUCCCUGCAGGCUGGGUGUCCCUGGGCACGGCCGUGAGUGUCCCAGGAGACCGGCAGUGGCAGGCUGACCUGCAUCUCUUCUGCUGUGGUCUACGGGCCAAACCACUCCAGAACCCAGGCACCAGGGAAGGGGAUGCAGGCCCUCUCUAGAUAGCGGACCAGAUUGGGCUCUCCGUGAGGCAGAGGUGGCCCUCCGUCCUCAGGGUGAGGCCCGAGAAUGGCGGUGGGGUCUCCUCUUGGCAGAGGCCAAUUUCAGACUCAGGAGAAAAAGCCUCGGGAGGCAGAGGUGCUGCACAGUCUCCAGCUCCACUCUUACGGCCUCGUGAGCGUCCUGGUGCCCAGCACCUGGGGUUGACUCUGAGAGGUGAGGACACUGCAGGACCUCACAGAGAAGCCCAGGGGCUCCCCCUGGGCAGCACCCUGUUCUGGGGACUUGGAUGUCCAGGCUUCACGCACCUUGACCCGCCCGGCCUGGACCUGCCACAGGAGGAGCCGUGGACGUGGCCCUGCGUGGAUGUGGCUCAGACUCCUCCAGCAUGGUCUCCACGCGCCUGUGUGUGCAGCCCCGCACCCCUGAAGGGACAGAUGGGGCACAGGACUGCAGCCUCUCAGAAGUGUGGGGAGUGCAUUGGUCAGGGCAUGGGGGAGGUUGUGGGCAGGCCUCCUGGUGGCCGGGAUGAGCAAAGAGCGGGGAGCAGCACCUGAGGGGUGGGGUGUGGGGCUACAGGAUCUUUCUGGGGCUAACAGUGGUUUGUUUGCUUAUUUAUUGAUUUGUUUCUGCAGUGCUGGGGAUGAGCCCAGAGCCUUACACUGAGCUACAUCACCAGCCCUUUCAUUUUUUUUUUCUGAGACAGAGUCUUGCUGACUUGCCCAGGUGGGAUUCGAACUUGUGAUCCUCCUACCUUAGCCUCCCAGAGUGCUGGGAUCACAGCUGUGCUCCACAAGCCCAUCUGACUGUGUUUAAAAUGCCUGGCGAUUUGGAGCAGGAGGAGGUCCUGAGCUUUCCUCUGAAUUGAUUCUCAGGACUACCGAGCACCUCACAAGAGGACCCCCUCUCUCCGGGGAGAGCCCCGCCCCUGUGCUUUGCUUGGGGACCCUCAGGUCCCUUCCUGUUGGAAGUGGUUCCCAUAUUUGACAGGCUUCUGGACAGAGGCAUGGCUGGAGCUCUUGGGUGUGGGGUGACCUGCUUUCCUUCUGGGGAUUGGCUGGCUCAUUUGUCCUGGGAACAGCAGGGCCACCCGCCCCAGGCCCGCCUGUGGUGCUGGCCGAGCAGCUGUGUGCUCUCACCAGUGCCAGACAUGGGAUCAGAGAGGUCACUGGUAGCUGCACAGUGGAAGGCAGCAAAACGCUUCCCAGCCAAGGGACAGAGCAGUCUGCAUGUGGAGCCAGCAGGCGAGUGGAGGGUCACUCAGCAGCUCUGGGCCUGCUGGGCCCUUGGGGUCACCCACACAGUUCCAGAUGUGCUGCUGACUUCUGGCUGCAGCAGGUGGACAGUGUCCAGGGUCUGAGAAACACAUGCUAGAGGACUCCAUUGCACCAGCAGCUUCCUGUAAGCGACAGGUGUUUCCUUCCCCGCAGAACUCAGCCACUGUCCCUUCCCUCAGAGGCCCUUCCUUCAGCCUUCAGAGGUUAGGACUGGAUGUCUUCCGGAGGUUGUUACCCUGCAGCCCACACUCCCUGAGGAGCCUGCCAAAGAGCCUGAUGGCACAGUCACCUACGUGACCCUUCUGGAAGGUCCUGAAGCUGUGAGGCAGUGCCGAGCCCGGGGCUGCCCCUUGUCAGGAGGCCAGGACAGUCAGACACUGGGCCUCUGUUACCGCAGAGGACAGGCCAUGAAGGCCAGACCUCGGAGGACCCGGCUGCUGACGCUUGGUGACCACAGCUGUCUCUGCCACAUGCACCUUGCCGCCUGAACUCGACGCAGUCCAGACGGGAGCUGUUUCCCUGUGCCUGCUUUCAAGUCAGGAGAGUGAGCGGGGUGUGGGGGUGCACCCCUGUGGUGCCAGCACCCUGGGGGGCUGAGGCAGGAAGGAUCACAAGUUCUAGCCUGGCCUGACCAGUUUAGAGACUUAGUGAGACCCUGUCUCAGAAAAUAAAAAUGGAGCUCAUUGUGAAGGCCCUGGGUUCAAUGUCCAGGACCACAGGGAAAAAAGAGGGGGAGAGGGGAGGGAGGAGGAGAGAAAAGCCCCCGAGAGCUCCAGGGCUUGUUUCCUGCCACGUAGCUCCUCAGAACCAGAGCUGGGGGCCCAGCCCACGUCUGAAUGGGAGGCUGGCUGUACCCGCAGGCAGCACUACCUCACACCUGUCGUACCUGGGCAGCCCUGGAGGGAGGCUUUGCCCAGAGAGGUUUAGCCACUUCUCUGGUCCCAGAUGCCUCAUGUGGCCUCCGAGGCCCCAAUCCCAAGAAGUCCUGUCAGGAGCUUUGCUGCCCGUGAUGGCUCAGGUCCCACACUGCAUCUGGUAGCUCCAUCCUGAUGGUGGUUCAUGGGCUCCCAGGCCCUCCCCUCUGGGUCUGCCAGACUCGGCUGUGCUCGGUGGGCUCUGUCUGCUGAGACCCCGUCUCCACCCCUGGACAAACUCACCCAGUGGGCCUUGUGUGCCCCUGCUUGGCAUGGUGAGGGAGGGAGUGACUUCCGGAGCCCGGCUCUCCCCAUGCGCGGCUGGGGUCCCAGCGGCUCCUGUGCCCUCGGGGCUCAGUCUGUGUCCUGAGGGACAGGGGUGUGUGUGGGGGCCUGUGUGGCCUGCACCUGACCCGCCUGCUGCCCCAGCCCUGCCCUGUGCCCACUGCAGGCCCUGUCUGCUUCCCAGGACUCUUGGCUGACCCGCAUUGCCCCAAGGUGGCCUCAGUGCCAGGGCUGGGGCAGGGAGUGCCCAGGAUGGCUCUGUGAUCAGCUGGUGAUGUCUGCCGCAGGCCCGGGCUGGGCUUGUGUGCGAGCCUUGUGGGUCUUCAUCGCUCCCCAGUGACUCCCCGGUGUUUGGCACAGGGUGGCGUGGGUAUCCACUGUUUCCUCUGAGGGGUGUCACGCUGGGGGGUUGGAGAGCCCACCAGAGGGACGGGAAACUUCCUGUCCUCUCUCUUGCUGUUUCCAAGGGAGACCGCCCACUGAGGGCACCGUUUUCAUGUUAACACAACAGACCAGGCCGAACCGGAGCAGGGAAGGUGCUGGCACCCGGAGGAGGCCAAGCCUGGCAUUCCACCUCGGGGAGCAUUCUGUUGCCUCAGCACCUGCCAAGCAAGUGUGUCCUUUCCAGACAUCCCACACUCGGGGAGAUCCCAGCAUGCCAGCCCCACCAACCCUGCCCACUGCUCCCCCAGGUUCCACUUUACUCAUCCAACAGAUUUGUGAAUCCGACCUUUUUAAAAAGGGAAAGAUUUAAAAACUGUGUGCACAGCGCGUCCGCUCUCUUCUGUGUGCCCUGCUCCUGUACGUGCAUAGUUGCCUGGGGGCUUGGGCCACAGCCUGGGGCACAGUGUCCUUCGGAGCUGCUUUCUGGGCAGGGCGCUGUGCCUGGGUAUCAGGCCAGGGCUCCUGGUGCUGCCACAUCGGCAUUUCAAAUGCUGAGACUGGCUGGUGGCCCUGGAGGGUCAGCCCCACCCAAAGGCUCAAAGCGUCCACUGUGCCUUGGUCCAUUAUCUCACAGGCUGUGAAAUAGGCUGACAGAGAUUUUGAAUUAUGAACGUCCAUACAGGGACUUCAUUUACUUCUUUUUUCUUUUGGUACUGGGGACCGAACUCGGGACCUUGCACUUACAAGGGAGGCAGCGGAACCACUGAGCUAAAUCCCUGGUCCGUUUUUUUUUUUUUUUGGUACCUCGUUUACUUCUCAUAGCAACCCUGAGGUUAUUGUCUUGCAGCUUUUCAGAGUAGGUCUGCCAUGGCUUCGCAGCACCACAUGGUCCUGCAUGGGGUUCCAAGGCCACAGGGGCCAAUGGGGCUGCGGUAGCAGGGAUCUGUUCUGAGACCCUGAUUCUCUGUGAACAGUUUUUUUUUUUUGGUACUGGGGAUCGAACUCGGGACCUUGCACUUUUGAGGCAGGGGCCAAAACCACUGAGCUAAAUCCCCGGCACCGUGAACAGUUUUUUUUUAAUGUCAAUUGUAUUUUCUCCUGUAUUUUUGUGGACUCCUAUCAGUCUUAGGUUAUUCUUCUUUGCAUCACCUAGCAGCUGCUGGACUGAUUUCUCAUGGUCCCUUACUAUCUUUAAGAAAUCUCUGUUUUCAUGGUCCUUAACCGCAAUCCUGUCUUCUAUAUCUGAUAUUCUAUCUUCAGAUUCCCUUAAUCUGCUAUGCAUGCUUUCAAUGGAGUUUUUAAUCUCCUGAAUAUCUGUUUGAAUCUAUUUCAUGGAUUCCAUUUCUUUCUUAUGUUGGGCGAUCAUGGUUUAUAUUUCUUUCUUAUGCUGGGCAUUCAUGGCUUUCAGCAUAUUUUUGAGCUCAUCUAUUUUUUUAUCUGUUUCUGUUUUAGAGCCUCUAAUUAUGUCUUUCACUCUGCUCACCAUGUCUGUAGUUAUCUGGGAGAUUAUGUCUGCUUUGAAUUUUUCUAGAGUCUCAUUCAUCUGUUUUGUUACUUCCUGUGCUAUCAGUUCAGCCUGUCCAGGUGGUUGAUUAUCGGACUUUUCCACCCCAUUUCCCCAAAAAUUGCCUUUUGUAGGGUGGAAGCCUGGGUUUGUGACUUGCUUAAAUGUCUUUUUCAUUUUUGUUUCUGGUACUGUCACUUAUAAGCCAAUGAGUCCCAGUAAGCCAGUCACAGACCCCUGAGAUUCAGACAGACUUCUGGCUGCAAGUCCCAAAUUGAGCUCCCCGCCCUCCCACAGGGCUGAACUCUGCAAGGCUCUACUACAGGUUCCAGCUGCCCUUCCCCUGAAGAUAGUCCAGGAUCAAGUGGGAGGUGAUGAUCCCUCCAACUUACCAAGCACGGUGGUCUGGUGUGCCUUUAUUGCAGAGAUUCUUUUCACUUUUCCAGUGGGAUUCAGUUUUCAUCAGGGAGCCUGAGAGAGGCCUCUCUCUGCUGUUCACCUCUGCAACUCAGGACAAUGGCCUUUAUGUCCCCCUGUGCCUCUGUAAUGUGGAACUGGGUAGCUGCACAGCCAAGAGGCCAGAGGCAGCGGUGGUGGUGGGGCUGGCUGUUGUUACAGGUGCCUGUGGGGCCAAGCCAGUGGCCGGUGGGCCUGCGGGGUGGGGUGGGGGUGUCCUCACCGUUUCCUGGAUGCAAGUGGGCUGACGCUGAUUCUCUUUAAUGCUGCACCGGCAUCUCUCCUGCUGGAAGUUUUUGGGAACAAGUCUUUACCUACCUGUUCUUGUUGGAUCACGGGUCAUGGCAGCCUCUGGAUGUGUGUCUCCUACUGGGGCAGUCCCCACUGUCUGCAUGUGUAAAGGAAGGUGCACACAUGCAGGGUGCCAGGUGUGGGAGUGAGUCAGCCACCCAAGCGCUGGCUCAUCUGCCUCCCGGCCCUGGUGCAGGGCUCUGCCCCUCUCUGGCUUUGUCAGCCUGAGGUACAGAGGCUGGUGUCAUCUGAGCCUGCACUGACUGGGGUGUGAGCAGCUCUCCACUCACUCCUGCUGUGAUGUCCCCGGCCCCAGACUCUGCUCCUUCCUCCCCUGUCCCCUGCCUGGAGUAGGAGGAGGCCCUGGGAGUCCAGCGUGCUCUGAGGGCCUUUCUGUCCUGGGCCGGGAGGUGGCACUGAGGUCCUCACCGUGGCACGGGUGAAGUGUGGGAAGCCAACAAGUGUGAAGCACAUCACACUUGAACAGUGGUCCUGCAAAUCAUUGGCUUCUGUGAGCUGGGAGGGCCAUGGCCAACCCUCCUGGGCCCCCGAUUUUAUCAGUCAACAGAACUGGGGCUUGAGAGAUGCAGAUGCACAUCUGUGGGCACUGCUGUCCUCCCCAGAGGGCCUGGCUCUGCAGACCCCUGAGAGAUGGUGUGUGGGGUUAUGGUUUAUAUCUGUGGAAGGCCAUUGGAUUAGGGGCUUAUAGCAGAUUGCUCUUAGGAGGCGGCUCCUGAUGGGAAGGGGCGGGUCACUGUGGGUGUGACCGGAAGUUCACAUCUCCCUUCCCGCUUCUUCCCUGACGCGCUACUUCCUGUUCACCAUGCCUCGAGCCGCUCUCCUCCCCGAGGCUCCUCUGCCCUGCCGUUCUGCCUCAGAGCCUGCCGACCACCAACCGACAGACGAGCAGUAUAAACCUCUCCUCCGGUUGAGUCGGUGUCGAGCACGGUGUCCCAGCGAGGAGAAGGCAGAGCCGCUGUGCGUCAGGACGCUGGUGCCCCCAACAGAACCACAGUGCGGUGCCCAGGAGGGUCUUGCUGUGUAGCCCAGGCUGGCCCCGAACUCACAAUGAUCCUCCUGCCAGGGCCUCCAAGGUGCUGGGACUACAGCCACGAACCACCGUGCCUGCCCACAGAUGGCAGGAGAGUUUGUGAUUUGCAGGAAAAUCGGGCAGUGAGUACAGAGAUCCUCUGGACAUGCACAGUGUCCCUGGGCACCUGUGACCUGUGAGGACCGGCACCGCCCAUGGGCACUUCCCGAGGGCCACGGUUUCCGGCCUCUCUCCUGUGUCCCGACUGCGUCCUGACCCACGCCCACCCCACAGUGCCCACUGACAGUGCCCCUCCAGUCCUGUCGCCCGCUCAUCCCUCCUACCACGAAUGCAGCGUCCUGACAUCUGGGCUUUUCCAGAACGGCAUAGGGUUGGACCACAGUACACAGCCCUGCAGACCGGCUGCUUUCGUACGCAUUCUUGCUGAAGGCUCCUCUGUGUCUCCUGGGAAACAUUUUAUGGGAGCAAAGCAUGUGUGCAGAAGAUGCAUGAUUACAUGUGCGGGGUCCCGGACUGCCAGGCUCGGGGCUCCGGGGCUCCGGGGUAGCCGGCCCCCAGCCGGAAGCCACUGUGGCCAGUACUGGGAGUCCCGUGUUCACUGCCAGACCCUGCCCUGCUUGCCGGAGGCCACCCUGCUCCCCACGCCUGAGUCCACAGUGGGGACGUCCGUGGCCAGUCUGUGGCCGGUGUCCCGCACUCAGCACUGUGCUGCGUGGCCGGGAGUGGUGUCCCGUGGUAGGAAGGGCCUCUGCUCGUGGUCUUAGCCCCAGCCUCCUUGGUGAAGUACGGGCGGCUGCAUGGAUCACUCCGGCCUUUGGUCCAAGUUCUCUGUUGGCCCUGGCUCCUGAGUGGCCACGCUGCCUCUGAACCCUGGCAUGGGGACUGAGUCUGCUGGACUGGAGCAGGAGAAACGCAACCACAGAGCCCAAGGAUUCAGAAUCUGCCAGAUUACGAAGGGCCCAAUCUCAAUAGUUUUUGCCUAAACUUACACUUAGAUUAAUUUUAGUGAAUAUCCCAUUGGUAAUUAAACGUAUCCAUUUAUAUAUUUAUUUAUUUAUUCUUUCUGUCAUUUUUAAUUUUUAUUUAUUUAUUUAUUUUUGGUACUGGAGAUCGAGCUCAGGUCCUUGUGCUUGCGCAGCAGGUGGAGAAACCACUGAGCUAAAUCCCCGGCCCUUUCUGUCAUUCUUUAUUAGCACGUUUGCAGUACAUACAGUCAUAUCGAUCGUGGGGAGUCGGUGUGUUUCUGUAACACUUCUUAAUUCUUUCUUCCUCCUCGUCCCCCCACCUCUUGGUCCCCUUCCCUUUUGGAAAUGAUCCCUCUGCCUGUUUUCUAUCACCUGUCUUUUGUUUUUCUCUUUAAUUUAUUUAUACUCUGGGUUUCUCAUAGAAGAGAAACCAUGUGAUAUUUAAGCUUGUGUGUCUGAUUUAUUUCACUUAACAUUAUGGUCUCAAGGUGCACCCAUGUUCCUAUAAAUGACUCAAGUUUAUCUUUCUUUAUGGCAGAGUAUUACCCCACUGUGUGUAAAUGCCACAUUUUAUUUAUUCAUUCUGUUCAUGGGCAUAUAGGCCACUUCCAAGAUUUAGCUGUUGUGAGUUUUAUUGCUGUAAACCUGGGUGUGCAUGGAUCCCUGCAGUAUGAUGUCUUUAACUCUCUCGGAAGGGGGAGUAGCUGGGUCAAUGGAAGUUCUAGAUCAUCUGCUCCAUUAAGUGUAAUCUGAGUGGUAUUCUCUGCAUGCAGUCAGUGGUUACUUAGUGAGAUGUGCCCACACUGGCUGGGGGGGGCCCUGGGGGCAGAGCCUUGCUGUUAGGUUUCCGUAGGGGCAUGAGUUGCUGCCAUCCCCGAAUGUGCAUGGUGUGCAGAGCCCGUGCCCAGGCCCAGUGUGCAUUUGCUGAGCUUGGUCCCUGUCCCUGAUGGUCUCAUUUUACGGAUGUGGAAGAAGGGGGCAGCUGAAGCAGUGAGCUCUGCUACAUAGUAGUCUGCUUGUCGCUGUGACAGAGCACCAAGGAAAUCGGUGUGAGGGAGAGAGGGUCUUUCUGGUUGGUUGGCUCUGUCCCUCUUAGGCUGGGUGAGGUCACAGUAUCACAGUGAACGGGCCCAGAGUUGCAGGGCACCGAGGGCCGCCUGGGGACAGUGCCUGUUUCACUGCUGCAUUGUGGAGGGGCAGGCCGUGUUCAUCCUGGACAGGUUCCGGUGCAGAAGAGUGGUUCUGUCUGCCAGGCCAGGGCAGCAGAUGCCACUGGGUGUUGGCCACGACUGAGUCCUCUUGCUCAUGCUGGUCCUGCGUCCCCUUCCUCCAGGAUCCCAUCUGGGGGUGACUCCUGAAGCCCCAGGUGCAGGGGACAUUUCCCGACCCACCUCCCCGGUGGGGCCUCUCAGACGGAACGUAUCGGAAGCCCAGCUGCUCCAGCCUCCUCCUUGCCAAAGUGAUUUUAGAUAUGUUACGACUGACAAACAGCACAACCCAGUUCAGAGGGAAAAAUCUCCCCUCUAUUGGAAUAGAGGAAAUUGGGGAGGAGGUAGGUUUUAUUUUUCACUGUUACUUUUGAAAUGAUUAUAGAUUCACAGGAAGUUGCAAAAGUUGUACGCAGGGUCUCCCAGGUCCUCCUCCAGCUCCCUGCAAUGGCGACAUUUUACUUAGCAGCAGUAAAACAGCAAGACCAGGAAAUUGACAUCAGAAUGAGACUCCAGGCCUUGCUCGGAUUUCGCCUGUGUGCGCACGUGCACGUGUGUGUGUUUCUGUGCACGUGAUCUCUUGCAGAGGCUCACGUUACCGCUGCCACCAUCAGGACACUGGGCAGCUUCACUGCCAGAAACCAGCUUCCUGGCGCCCCCGGGAGGGGACCUGCAAACCAUGAGUGGACAAGACGCGCUGUGCGCACUCACUGUACGGCCCCGACUUCUGGAGUGAGUGUACACUGCGGAACAGCUGCGUCAAGCUGAGGGGCGAUGCUGUUUGUGCACUGUGAGGACACCCCAGAUUGGCUCCCUUUGCAGUCUCGAAGUGGUUACGCACUUGGUCACUACCGUCGCCGCAUCCUGCCACAGACCCCUCGAAGCUGUUUCUCUUGUGUGACUAAAAUUGUGCCCUUGACCGACCAGGCACACCAUGUUUUUAGCAGCACAAUAGCUAAGUCUUGGAAGCAGCCUAUACGUCCAUCAACAGAUGAACGGAUAAAGAAAAUAUGCUAUUUACACACAACGGAGUACUACUCUGCCACAAAGAAGGAUAAACCAAAGUCAUUUGUAGGAACAUGGAUGCACCUUGAGACCAUAAUGUUAAGAGAAAUAAAUCAGACACAGAAGGUUAAAUAUCACAUGGCUUCUCUUAUAUGUGAAACCCUGAGUAUAAAUAAAGAGCAAAAUAAGAGAUAGAUCAUAGGUAACAGGGAGAUGGAUGUUUUGGAAAUAGGAAGGGAG
Molecule: long non-coding RNA, 13347 nt
Filed under: Heterocephalus glaber (naked mole-rat)
Lineage: Eukaryota; Metazoa; Chordata; Mammalia; Rodentia; Bathyergidae
Description: lncRNA (ENSHGLG00000048942.1)
Source: RNAcentral